This 644-nucleotide ribosomal RNA is filed under the name uncultured bacterium. RNAcentral's name for it is "partial 16S ribosomal RNA". It matches the Rfam family "Bacterial small subunit ribosomal RNA", at positions 856 to 1497 of the family's 1533-position model. The record is from RNAcentral.
CGNNNNAAGUACCCCGCCUGGGGAGUACNNNCGCAAGGUUGAAACUCAAAGGAAUUGACGGNNNNNNNCACAAGCGGUGGAGUAUGUNNNNUAAUUCGANNNAACGCNANNNACCUUACCAGGGUUUGACAUCCACUGAAUACGUAAGAGAUUACGCCGGCCCUUUCGGGGGACAGUGAGACAGGUGGUGCAUGGCUGUCGUCAGCUCGUGUCGUGAGAUGUUGGGUUAAGUCCCGCAACGAGCGCAACCCUUAUCCUGUGUUACCAGCGUGAAAGACGGGGACUCACAGGAGACUGCCGCCGACAAGGCGGAGGAAGGCGGGGAUGACGUCAAGUCAUCAUGCCCCUUAUGUCCUGGGCUACACACGUACUACAAUGGGUGCGAACAGAGGGCAGCGAUCCCGCGAGGGGGAGCCAAUCCCACAAAAGCACUCUCAGUUCGGAUCGCAGGCUGCAACCCGCCUGCGUGAAGUCGGAAUCGCUAGUAAUCGCAGAUCAGCAGGCUGCGGUGAAUACGUUCCCGGGCCUUGUACACACCGCCCGUCACACCACGAAAGUCUGCAACACCCGAAGCCGGUGGGGUAACCGCAAGGAGNNAGCCNNCGAAGGUGGGGCCGAUGAUUGGGGUGAAGUCGUAACAAGGU